UACAGAGGGGGCAAGCGUUGUUCGGAAUUACUGGGCGUAAAGGGCGCGUAGGCGGCCCGCUAAGUCGAACGUGAAAUCCCUGGGCUUAACCCAGGAACUGCGUCCGAUACUGGCAGGCUUGAAUCCGGGAGAGGGAUGCGGAAUUCCAGGUGUAGCGGUGAAAUGCGUAGAUAUCGUAAGGAAGACCAGUGGCGAAGGCGGGUCUCUGGACAGUUCCUGACGCUGAGGCACGAAGGCCAGGGGAGCAAACGGG
Molecule: ribosomal RNA, 253 nt
Filed under: uncultured bacterium
Lineage: Bacteria
Description: partial 16S ribosomal RNA
Rfam family: Bacterial small subunit ribosomal RNA
Source: RNAcentral